CCUACGGUGGGCUGCAGUGAGGAAUAUUGGUCAAUGGGCGGAAGCCUGAACCAGCCAAGUAGCGUGCAGGAUGACGGCCCUACGGGUUGUAAACUGCUUUUAUACGGGAAUAACGCGCCUUACGUGUAGGGCUUUGCAUGUACCGUAUGAAUAAGGACCGGCUAAUUCCGUGCCAGCAGCCGCGGUAAUACGGAAGGUCCGGGCGUUAUCCGGAUUUAUUGGGUUUAAAGGGAGCGUAGGCGGCAUGUCAAGCGUGCUGUGAAAUGUUCGGGCUCAACCCGGGCCUUGCAGCGGAAACUGGCGUGCUUGAGUGCGCGGAAGGCAGGCGGAAUUCGUCGUGUAGCGGUGAAAUGCUUAGAUAUGACGAAGAACCCCGAUUGCGAAGGCAGCUUGCUGCAGCGGAACUGACGCUGAGGCUCGAAAGCGCGGGGAUCGAACAGGAUUAGAUACCCCAGUAGUC
Molecule: ribosomal RNA, 460 nt
Filed under: uncultured bacterium
Lineage: Bacteria
Description: partial 16S ribosomal RNA
Rfam family: Bacterial small subunit ribosomal RNA
Source: RNAcentral